Molecule: unclassified non-coding RNA, 348 nt
Filed under: soil metagenome
Description: partial contains 5.8S ribosomal RNA, internal transcribed spacer 2, and large subunit ribosomal RNA
Rfam family: 5.8S ribosomal RNA (bases 1-120)
Source: RNAcentral
GAUGAAGAACGCAGCGAAAUGCGAUAAGUAGUGUGAAUUGCAGAAUUCCGUGAAUCAUCGAAUCUUUGAACGCACAUUGCGCCUCCUGGUAAUCCGUGAGGCAUGCCUGUCCGAGCGUCAGUAAAAAGCAACUCGGCCGCGGCUGGCGGUUGGUGAUGGAGGAAGAGCACGUCUCGUUGUCGGUCUCCCCUCCCAAAAUCAACGGCGGAAUGUCACUGGCACUCGGUGUUGUAGUAUUAUUCGCCGAUCACCCAUUGUUGUUCCUGCCGCCCAAACCCCCACAAUUCUCUUGAUUGACCUCGGAUCAGGUAGGGAUACCCGCUGAACUUAAGCAUAUCAUAGCGGAGA